RNAcentral lists this ribosomal RNA (253 nucleotides) under uncultured Eubacteriales bacterium. RNAcentral's name for it is "uncultured Clostridiales bacterium partial 16S ribosomal RNA". It matches the Rfam family "Bacterial small subunit ribosomal RNA", at positions 524 to 776 of the family's 1533-position model. Lineage: Bacteria; Bacillati; Bacillota; Clostridia; Eubacteriales. The record is from RNAcentral.
UACGUAGGGGGCAAGCGUUAUCCGGAUUCACUGGGUGUAAAGGGAGCGUAGACGGCGAGACAAGUCUGGAGUGAAAGGCCGGGGCCCAACCCCGGGACUGCUCUGGAAACUGCCUGGCUGGAGUACAGGAGAGGUAAGUGGAAUUCCUAGUGUAGCGGUGAAAUGCUUAGAUAUCAUGAAGAACUCCGAUCGCGAAGGCAAGUGUCCGGGGUGCAACUGACGCUGAGGCUCGAAAGUGCGGGUAUCAAACAGG